This 1321-nucleotide ribosomal RNA is filed under the name uncultured bacterium. RNAcentral's name for it is "bacterial SSU rRNA". It matches the Rfam family "Bacterial small subunit ribosomal RNA", at positions 28 to 1381 of the family's 1533-position model. The record is from RNAcentral.
GAUGAACGCUGGCGGCGUGCCUAAUACAUGCAAGUCGAACGAAGAAUGUAGCAAUACUUUCUUAGUGGCGAACGGGUGAGUAACGCGUUGGUGACCUGCCCCGAAGUGAGGGAUAACAAUUCGAAAGAGUUGCUAAUACCUCAUGUGAUCCUCCGGUCUAGAUGCCGGUUGAUUAAAGGAUUUAUUCGCUUNNGGAGGGGCCUGCGUCCCAUCAGCUAGUUGGUAGGGUAAUGGCCUACCAAGGCUAUGACGGGUAGGGGGCCUGAGAGGGUGACCCCCCACACUGACACUGAAAUACGGGUCAGACACCUANNGGUGGCAGCAGUAGGGAAUAUUGGUAAUCUGGGAAACCGGGAACCAGCAACGCCGCGUGUGCGAUGAAGGCCUUCGGGUUGUAAAGCACUUUUUGAGAGGAUGAGGAAGGACAGUACUCUCAGAAUAAGCCUCGGCUAACUACGUGCCAGCAGCCGCGGUAACACGUAGGAGGCAAGCGUUAUUCGGAUUUAUUGGGCGUAAAGCGCGUGCAGGCGGUUCGAUAAGUUGGAUGUGAAAGCUCCUGGCUUAACUGGGAGAGGUCGUUCAAUACUAUCGGACUAGAGGAUGAGAGAGGGAGGUGGAAUUCCGAGUGUAGUGGUGGAAUGCGUAGAUAUUCGGAGGAACACCAGUGGCGAAAGCGGCCUCCUGGCUCAUAACUGACGCUCAGACGCGAAAGCUAGGGUAGCAAACGGGAUUAGAGACCCCGGUAGUCCUAGCCGUAAACUAUGUAGACUUGGCGUUGGUGGGGUAAAAUCCAUCAGUGCCGAAGCAAACGCGAUAAGUCUACCGCCUGGGGACUACGAUCGCAAGAUUAAAACUCAAAGGAAUUGACGGGUCCCCGCACAAGCAGCGGAGCGUGUGGUUUAAUUCGAUGAUACGCGAAGAACCUUACCAGGGUUUGACAUGAGGGUGGUAGGGAUCCGAAAGGUGACCGACUCCUCGGAGAGCCCCCACAGGUGCUGCAUGGCUGUCGUCAGCUCGUGUCGUGAGACGUUCGGUUAAGUCCGCUAACGAGCGCAACCCUCGUCGUGUGUUACAAGUGUCACGCGAGACCGCCGGUGUCAAGCCGGAGGAAGGUGAGGAUGACGUCAAGUCAGCAUGGCCUUUAUAUCCUGGGCUACACACACGCUACAAUGGCCAGCACAAUUGGUUGCGAAACCGCGAGGUGGAGCCAAUCCAUAAAGUUGGUCUCAGUUCAGAUUGUAGGCUGCAACUCGCCUGCAUGAAGAUGGAGUUGCUAGUAAACGCAGGUCAGCAUUACUGCGUUGAAUACGUUCCCGGGGAU